This 796-nucleotide ribosomal RNA is filed under the name uncultured bacterium. RNAcentral's name for it is "bacterial SSU rRNA". It matches the Rfam family "Bacterial small subunit ribosomal RNA", at positions 8 to 798 of the family's 1533-position model. The record is from RNAcentral.
AGAGUUUGAUCAUGGCUCAGAUUGAACGCUGGCGGCAGGCUUAACACAUGCAAGUCGAGCGGAGAUGAGGUGCUUGCACCUUAUCUUAGCGGCGGACGGGUGAGUAAUGCUUAGGAAUCUGCCUAUUAGUGGGGGACAACAUUCCGAAAGGGAUGCUAAUACCGCAUACGUCCUACGGGAGAAAGCAGGGGAUCUUCGGACCUUGCGCUAAUAGAUGAGCCUAAGUCGGAUUAGCUAGUUGGUGGGGUAAAGGCCUACCAAGGCGACGAUCUGUAGCGGGUCUGAGAGGAUGAUCCGCCACACUGGGACUGAGACACGGCCCAGACUCCUACGGGAGGCAGCAGUGGGGAGUAUUGGACAAUGGGGGGAACCCUGAUCCAGCCAUGCCGCGUGUGUGAAGAAGGCCUUAUGGUUGUAAAGCACUUUAAGCGAGGAGGAGGCUACUGAGACUAAUACUCUUGGAUAGUGGACGUUACUCGCAGAAUAAGCACCGGCUAACUCUGUGCCAGCAGCCGCGGUAAUACAGAGGGUGCGAGCGUUAAUCGGAUUUACUGGGCGUAAAGCGUGCGUAGGCGGCUUUUUAAGUCGGAUGUGAAAUCCCCGAGCUUAACUUGGGAAUUGCAUUCGAUACUGGGAAGCUAGAGUAUGGGAGAGGAUGGUAGAAUUCCAGGUGUAGCGGUGAAAUGCGUAGAGAUCUGGAGGAAUACCGAUGGCGAAGGCAGCCAUCUGGCCUAAUACUGACGCUGAGGUACGAAAGCAUGGGGAGCAAACAGGAUUAGAUACCCCGGUAGUCCAA